RNAcentral lists this non-coding RNA (26 nucleotides) under Homo sapiens (human). Lineage: Eukaryota; Metazoa; Chordata; Mammalia; Primates; Hominidae. The record is from RNAcentral.
UUAAAAGCUGUUGGGUAAUUGAAGGU